RNAcentral lists this ribosomal RNA (332 nucleotides) under uncultured eukaryote. RNAcentral describes it as "partial 18S ribosomal RNA". It matches the Rfam family "Eukaryotic small subunit ribosomal RNA", at positions 1470 to 1796 of the family's 1831-position model. The record is from RNAcentral.
CCCUUAGAUGUUCUGGGCUGCACACGCGCUACACUGGCAGGUUCAGCGAGCUUCUUGCCCUGAUCUGAGAAGAAUGGGAAACCUUUUCAACACCUGCCGUGCUUGGGAUAGAUGUUUGCAAUUAUUCAUCUUCAACAAGGAUUGCCUUGUAGGCGUGCCUCAUCAGGGCACAUCGAAUACGACCCUGUAUUCUGUACACACCGCCCGUCGCUCCUACCGAUUGAAUGGUCCGGUGAAAUGUUCGGACCGCGACAAGGCGGACGGUUCGCUGUCAGCUUUGCUGCGGGAAGUUCAUUAAACCUUAUCAUUUAGAGGAAGGAGAAGUCGUANCA